Trichosurus vulpecula (common brushtail) is the source of this 104-nucleotide small nuclear RNA. NCBI's taxonomy places the organism in Eukaryota, Metazoa, Chordata, Mammalia, Diprotodontia, Phalangeridae. The record is from RefSeq and is a predicted model, not a curated record.
GUGCUCACUUCAGCAGCACGUAUACUAGAAUUGGAGCCAUGCAAAGAUUAGCGUGGCCCCUUCGCAAGGAUGACAUGCAAAUUCAUGAAGCGUUCCACAUUUUG